UGGGAAUAUUGCACAAUGGGGGGAAACCCUGAUGCAGCGACGCCGCGUGAAGGAUGAAGUAUUUCGGUAUGUAAACUUCUAUCAGCAGGGAAGAAAAUGACGGUACCUGACUAAGAAGCCCCGGCUAACUACGUGCCAGCAGCCGCGGUAAUACGUAGGGGGCAAGCGUUAUCCGGAUUUACUGGGUGUAAAGGGAGCGUAGACGGCAUGGCAAGUCUGAAGUGGAAGGCAGGGCUCAACCCCUGGACUGCUUUGGAAACUGUUAAGCUAGAGUGUCGGAGAGGCAAGUGGAAUUCCUAGUGUAGCGGUGAAAUGCGUAGAUAUUAGGAGGAACACCAGUGGCGAAGGCGGCUUGCUGGACGAUGACUGACGUUGAGGCUCG
This 382-nucleotide ribosomal RNA is filed under the name uncultured Clostridium sp. Its description in RNAcentral is "bacterial SSU rRNA". It matches the Rfam family "Bacterial small subunit ribosomal RNA", at positions 356 to 755 of the family's 1533-position model. Lineage: Bacteria; Bacillati; Bacillota; Clostridia; Eubacteriales; Clostridiaceae. The record is from RNAcentral.